This 225-nucleotide long non-coding RNA is filed under the name Homo sapiens (human). RNAcentral describes it as "HSALNT0015479". Lineage: Eukaryota; Metazoa; Chordata; Mammalia; Primates; Hominidae. The record is from RNAcentral.
GUGAGGCCCUGCCCUCAGGACUGUGAUUCUAGCAGAGGCAUGGUGGGAUCUUAGGGCUCGUAUGUGCAAAGAAAGGCUGUGCGAAACUCAAAAGCUGGGGCUUCUCUUUACGGUGCCUCGAUCUCUUAAAAGGCCCCUUCUACCCACCUUGCUCCUAUUGGUUAAUUUCUCAGCUACACAGAAAAGUCUAGUGGGCAUACAUGGCCAGGGGACCCAAAAGUCUAG